RNAcentral lists this long non-coding RNA (254 nucleotides) under Amborella trichopoda. Its description in RNAcentral is "long non-coding RNA (ATRI_LNC003318)". Lineage: Eukaryota; Viridiplantae; Streptophyta; Magnoliopsida; Amborellales; Amborellaceae. The record is from RNAcentral.
GUAGCAUGGUAUACAAAAGCUUGAUGUUUGGUUGGAAGUGGUAAUAGUAAAAGUGCUAGGAAAUUGUUUAUGGCAAUGGGCUGGGUGACCCAGUCCAGCACAGCUCUACAAACAAGGGCCUGGGCUACAAAAUAUGGCCUGAGGGCCGGGCAAGCAUUGCCAGAGGGUUGGGCCGGACCUUGGGCUAUAGUCGGCUCGGCCCUCUUUUUUUUUGUCUUUUCUUUUGUUUUAUUUUCAAUUUUUUUUUUGACCCG